RNAcentral lists this ribosomal RNA (673 nucleotides) under uncultured bacterium. RNAcentral's name for it is "bacterial SSU rRNA". It matches the Rfam family "Bacterial small subunit ribosomal RNA", at positions 79 to 748 of the family's 1533-position model. The record is from RNAcentral.
CUUGCUUCUCUUGAGAGCGGCGGACGGGUGAGUAAUGCCUAGGAAUCUGCCUGGUAGUGGGGGAUAACGUCCGGAAACGGACGCUAAUACCGCAUACGUCCUACGGGAGAGAGCAGGGGACCUUCGGGCCUUGCGCUAUCAGAUGAGCCUAGGUCGGAUUAGCUAGUUGGUGGGGUAAUGGCUCACCAAGGCGACGAUCCGUAACUGGUCUGAGAGGAUGAUCAGUCACACUGGAACUGAGACACGGUCCAGACUCCUACGGGAGGCAGCAGUGGGGAAUAUUGGACAAUGGGCGAAAGCCUGAUCCAGCCAUGCCGCGUGUGUGAAGAAGGUCUUCGGAUUGUAAAGCACUUUAAGUUGGGAGGAAGGGCAGUAAAUUAAUACUUUGCUGUUUUGACGUUACCGACAGAAUAAGCACCGGCUAACUCUGUGCCAGCAGCCGCGGUAAUACAGAGGGUGCAAGCGUUAAUCGGAAUUACUGGGCGUAAAGCGCGCGUAGGUGGUUCGUUAAGUUGGAUGUGAAAUCCCCGGGCUCAACCUGGGAACUGCAUUCAAAACUGACGAGCUAGAGUAUGGUAGAGGGUGGUGGAAUUUCCUGUGUAGCGGUGAAAUGCGUAGAUAUAGGAAGGAACACCAGUGGCGAAAGCGACCACCUGGACUGAUACUGACACUG